Molecule: non-coding RNA, 305 nt
Organism: Cinara cedri
Lineage: Eukaryota; Metazoa; Arthropoda; Insecta; Hemiptera; Aphididae
Source: the annotation of a GenBank genome assembly
AUAUUUUAUUUUUUUUAAAAACGAAGACAAUUUCUGAGUUCUCGAAAAGUUUAACGAGAACAAAAAUAUGUUCGCUUUAUUAUUAUAAUAAACGCUAAUGAGUUACUCGAAUCAUUUGUUGUUCGCAAAUACUUUUCAGGGUCUAGACUACGUAGACGUAUAGUCAAGAGAUGUACAAAGACCGCGCGGACAGAGGACUGCAAAUCCGUCGACAAUGGCGAAACGCAAAAUGCGUCUGUGGCCGAUAUUUUUUCGUCUGGGACUUUUUAUAAACAAUUUUUGCAGAUCAAAUCGACCGCGAAAAC